GAUGAACGCUGGCGGCGUGCCUAAUACAUGCAAGUCGAGCGAACAGACGAGGAGCUUGCUCCUCUGACGUUAGCGGCGGACGGGUGAGUAACACGUGGAUAACCUACCUAUAAGACUGGGAUAACUUCGGGAAACCGGAGCUAAUACCGGAUAAUAUAUUGAACCGCAUGGUUCAAUAGUGAAAGACGGUUUUGCUGUCACUUAUAGAUGGAUCCGCGCCGCAUUAGCUAGUUGGUAAGGUAACGGCUUACCAAGGCAACGAUGCGUAGCCGACCUGAGAGGGUGAUCGGCCACACUGGAACUGAGAAACGGUCCAGACUCCUAAGGGAGGCAGCAGUAGGGAAUCUUCCGCAAUGGGCGAAAGCCUGACGGAGCAACGCCGCGUGAGUGAUGAAGGUCCUCGGAUCGUAAAACUCUGUUAUUAGGGAAGAACAAAUGUGUAAGUAACUAUGCACGUCUUGACGGUACCUAAUCAGAAAGCCACGGCUAACUACGUG
RNAcentral lists this ribosomal RNA (497 nucleotides) under uncultured bacterium. RNAcentral's name for it is "partial 16S ribosomal RNA". It matches the Rfam family "Bacterial small subunit ribosomal RNA", at positions 28 to 507 of the family's 1533-position model. The record is from RNAcentral.